This 1564-nucleotide ribosomal RNA is filed under the name Salmonella enterica subsp. enterica serovar Enteritidis. RNAcentral's name for it is "partial 23S ribosomal RNA". It matches the Rfam family "Bacterial large subunit ribosomal RNA", at positions 1292 to 2835 of the family's 2925-position model. The record is from RNAcentral. Lineage: Bacteria; Pseudomonadati; Pseudomonadota; Gammaproteobacteria; Enterobacterales; Enterobacteriaceae.
GAAUGCUGACAUAAGUAACGAUAAAGCGGGUGAAAAGCCCGCUCGCCGGAAGACCAAGGGUUCCUGUCCAACGUUAAUCGGGGCAGGGUGAGUCGACCCCUAAGGCGAGGCCGAAAGGCGUAGUCGAUGGGAAACGGGUUAAUAUUCCCGUACUUGGUGUUACUGCGAAGGGGGGACGGAGAAGGCUAUGUUGGCCGGGCGACGGUUGUCCCGGUUUAAGCGUGUAGGUGUGUGUUCCAGGUAAAUCCGGUUCACUUUAACACUGAGGCGUGACGACGAGGCACUACGGUGCUGAAGCAACAAAUGCCCUGCUUCCAGGAAAAGCCUCUAAGCAUCAGGUAACAUCAAAUCGUACCCCAAACCGACACAGGUGGUCAGGUAGAGAAUACCAAGGCGCUUGAGAGAACUCGGGUGAAGGAACUAGGCAAAAUGGUGCCGUAACUUCGGGAGAAGGCACGCUGACACGUAGGUGAAGUGAUUUACUCAUGGAGCUGAAGUCAGUCGAAGAUACCAGCUGGCUGCAACUGUUUAUUAAAAACACAGCACUGUGCAAACACGAAAGUGGACGUAUACGGUGUGACGCCUGCCCGGUGCCGGAAGGUUAAUUGAUGGGGUCAGCGCAAGCGAAGCUCCUGAUCGAAGCCCCGGUAAACGGCGGCCGUAACUAUAACGGUCCUAAGGUAGCGAAAUUCCUUGUCGGGUAAGUUCCGACCUGCACGAAUGGCGUAAUGAUGGCCAGGCUGUCUCCACCCGAGACUCAGUGAAAUUGAACUCGCUGUGAAGAUGCAGUGUACCCGCGGCAAGACGGAAAGACCCCGUGAACCUUUACUAUAGCUUGACACUGAACAUUGAGCCUUGAUGUGUAGGAUAGGUGGGAGGCUUUGAAGUGUGGACGCCAGUCUGCAUGGAGCCGACCUUGAAAUACCACCCUUUAAUGUUUGAUGUUCUAACGUGGACCCGUUACCCGGGUUGCGGACAGUGUCUGGUGGGUAGUUUGACUGGGGCGGUCUCCUCCUAAAGAGUAACGGAGGAGCACGAAGGUUGGCUAAUCCUGGUCGGACAUCAGGAGGUUAGUGCAAUGGCAUAAGCCAGCUUGACUGCGAGCGUGACGGCGCGAGCAGGUGCGAAAGCAGGUCAUAGUGAUCCGGUGGUUCUGAAUGGAAGGGCCAUCGCUCAACGGAUAAAAGGUACUCCGGGGAUAACAGGCUGAUACCGCCCAAGAGUUCAUAUCGACGGCGGUGUUUGGCACCUCGAUGUCGGCUCAUCACAUCCUGGGGCUGAAGUAGGUCCCAAGGGUAUGGCUGUUCGCCAUUUAAAGUGGUACGCGAGCUGGGUUUAGAACGUCGUGAGACAGUUCGGUCCCUAUCUGCCGUGGGCGCUGGAGAACUGAGGGGGGCUGCUCCUAGUACGAGAGGACCGGAGUGGACGCAUCACUGGUGUUCGGGUUGUCAUGCCAAUGGCACUGCCCGGUAGCUAAAUGCGGAAGAGAUAAGUGCUGAAAGCAUCUAAGCACGAAACUUGCCCCGAGAUGAGUUCUCCCUGAGACUUAAAGUCUCCUGAAGGA